RNAcentral lists this transfer RNA (76 nucleotides) under Bacteroidota bacterium. RNAcentral's name for it is "Bacteroidetes bacterium tRNA-Gly". It matches the Rfam family "tRNA". From Rfam's summary of the family: Transfer RNA (tRNA) molecules are approximately 80 nucleotides in length. Lineage: Bacteria; Pseudomonadati; Bacteroidota. RNAcentral also lists the same sequence under 7 other names. The record is from RNAcentral.
GCGGAAGUAGCUCAGUUGGUAGAGCACGACCUUGCCAAGGUCGGGGUCGCGAGUUCGAGUCUCGUUUUCCGCUCCA